AAGUCUGGUGCCAGCAGCCGCGGUAAUUCCAGCUCCAAUAGCGUAUAUUAAAAUUGUUGCGUCUAAAAAGCUCGUAGUUUGAAAACUUGCCUUGGCUUACAACAGGUUCCCAAUGGGGGCCGCCGUUUGUUGAGAGCAAAUAUCGAUGACUGUUUUUGCCGACUUCAUUGUCCGGCUUAUAAGAGUUAUCAAAUAUCACUUUGAUUAAAUUAGAGUGCUUAAAGCAAGUGUGUUACUUGGAUAUAAAUGCAUGGAAUGAUGGAAUAUGUUGUUGUUCUAUUUGUUGGUUUUUGAACGAUAAAAUGAUUGAAAGGAACUGUUGGGGGCAUUCGUAUUGUUGUGAGAGAGGUGAAAUUCUUAGACCACAGCAAGACGAACUACUGCGAAAGCAUUUGCCAAGAAUGUUUUCAUUGAUCAAGAACGAAAGUUAGAGGUUCGAAGGCGAUCAGAUACCGCCCUAGUUCUAACCAUAAACGAUG
This 479-nucleotide ribosomal RNA is filed under the name Neoseiulus tunus. RNAcentral describes it as "bacterial SSU rRNA". It matches the Rfam family "Eukaryotic small subunit ribosomal RNA", at positions 557 to 1041 of the family's 1831-position model. The record is from RNAcentral. Lineage: Eukaryota; Metazoa; Arthropoda; Arachnida; Mesostigmata; Phytoseiidae.